GAUGAACGCUGGCGGCGUGCUUAACACAUGCAAGUCGAACGGGAAACCUUUUAUUGAAGCUUCGGCAGAUUUAGCUGGUUUCUAGUGGCGGACGGGUGAGUAACGCGUGGGUAACCUGCCUUAUACAGGGGGAUAACAGUCAGAAAUGGCUGCUAAUACCGCAUAAGCGCACAGAGCUGCAUGGCUCAGUGUGAAAAACUCCGGUGGUAUAAGAUGGACCCGCGUUGGAUUAGCUGGUUGGUGGGGUAACGGCCCACCAAGGCGACGAUCCAUAGUCGGCCCGAGAGGGUGAACGGCCACAUUGGGACUGAGACACGGCCCAGACUCCUACGGGAGGCAGCAGUGGGGAAUAUUGCACAAUGGGGGAAACCAUGAUGCAGCGACGCCGCGUGAAGGAAGAAGUAUCUCGGUAUGUAAACUUCUAUCAGCAGGGAAGAUAAUGACGGUACCUGACUAAGAAGCCCCGGCUAACUACGUG
Molecule: ribosomal RNA, 478 nt
Filed under: uncultured bacterium
Lineage: Bacteria
Description: partial 16S ribosomal RNA
Rfam family: Bacterial small subunit ribosomal RNA
Source: RNAcentral